This 351-nucleotide ribosomal RNA is filed under the name uncultured bacterium. Its description in RNAcentral is "bacterial SSU rRNA". It matches the Rfam family "Bacterial small subunit ribosomal RNA", at positions 917 to 1267 of the family's 1533-position model. The record is from RNAcentral.
GGGCCCGCACAAGCGGUGGAGCAUGUGGUUUAAUUCGAUGCAACGCGAAGAACCUUACCAGGUCUUGACAUCCUCGGAACUUGGCAGAGAUGCCUUGGUGCCUUCGGGAGCCGAGUGACAGGUGCUGCAUGGCCGUCGUCAGCUCGUGUCGUGAGAUGUUGGGUUAAGUCCCGUAACGAGCGCAACCCUUGUCCUUAGUUGCCAGCACGUCAUGGUGGGAACUCUAGGGAGACUGCCGGUGACAAACCGGAGGAAGGUGGGGACGACGUCAGGUCAUCAUGGCCCUUACGACCUGGGCUACACACGUGCUACAAUGGCUGGUACAGAGGGUUGCGAAGUCGCGAGGCGAAG